RNAcentral lists this long non-coding RNA (312 nucleotides) under Gossypium raimondii (Peruvian cotton). RNAcentral's name for it is "long non-coding RNA (GRAI_LNC004545)". Lineage: Eukaryota; Viridiplantae; Streptophyta; Magnoliopsida; Malvales; Malvaceae. The record is from RNAcentral.
GGGUGAGCAUUCGAUCGAAUCGAAUCGAGUCGAGUCAAAAAUUUUCGAGUUAAUCGAGUUUUCGAAUCUCAUUUUAUCAUCCUAACUUUAUUUGAAGUUUUCUCGAAUCGAGUCGAGUGAGAUGGAAUUCGAAUCGAAUAUAUUUGUUCGAGUUAAAUUUUAAAAAAUAAUUUUGGGUCCUUGUAACCAUUGUCACCCAUCGUAAUAAAAUUUGUCCACCUUAAUCAAAUUUUUUAUUAACUUUCAUCACCUCAUAAUUUAUUUAUUAAUUUUUUAUAUACUGGUUAGCUUAUUUGUUUGCUUAGUUGUUUC